GAAAGGGGCUCCGGAAAAUCAUAAAACAAGCAGGUGAACAAGACCAGGUGUGUCGGCACCUCCCUGCUCAGUGCCCAGCAGAGUUGUGAGAAAACCCAGUUGUCCAAUAAUUGUCAAGCUUUCCUUGGCCUUAGGGAAUGAGCACUCAAGACCUUUCUGGGCCAAGUGUGGUCGCCGACUCCUGUAAUCCUAGCACUUUGGGAGGCCGAGGAGGGAGAGCUGCUUGAGCCUAGGAGUUCAAGACUAGCCUGAGCAACAGCAGGACUUCAUCACUACAAAAAAUAAAAAAUUAGCCAUAUGUGGUGGUACACCCCUGUAGUCCCCCAGCUACUCGGGAGGCUAAGGUGGGAGGAUUACUUAAACCCAAGAGGUCGAGGCUGCAGUGAGCCGUGAUCGCACCACUGCAGUCCAGCUUGACCCUGUCUCAAAAAAAAAAAAAAGAACCUUCUGGAAGCAGAAAGGAGGAGGUUUUCCAAAACCAAAUCAUGUCAAGUACCUAGCUUGACCUCAAAAAAAAUACAGAAGCAGGGUUGGUAAUUGAUUGACAGGAAGGGCAGCUCAAAGCAGGAAAUGGAGAGUGGUAUGAAAACACUUAAGCAGUACAGCCCAAAGGAAGAACCUGAAAAGUUCAGCCAUACAUUUUCUGAGAAGAUGAAAGUGUAGGCAUUAGCAUACUCAAGAAUCAGGCAGACAGUUUUCCCCAUUUGGAAGCUGAAAAAGGAAUGAUCUGCUGCCCAAGACAAGAAAAUGAUGUGGGCCCAGAGGGAACCGUCACUCACACGUACACUGUCCAGGGGGCCAGAGAAGGAUUACAGCCGCCAUUUUGGCUUCUCUAGAGUGAAGCAGCAAAACAAUGUCUAGUGGUUGCUAGGCAACCAUUAGUCCAUCGCUGCCCUUUUCCAUUAAACAUUAUCUGCCUUCUUAGAUUGUUUUAAUUUACUUUUUUAAACAGGAUAGGUAAUGCAACAGAGAAUUAACGGUGCAACCUAACAAUGAAAACGCAUUUGAGGUUCCCAAAUCAGUGAAGGCUUUGCAAAGGUUAGAUCACUCUUGGGUGGAUGCCGAAGAUAGUGACAGUUGACUGAAACCUCUUCCCCAGACAUUUCAUCACUGGUCCUCAUGUUUCCUAGUGCCAAAAAUAAUAAUGUGGACGUAACAAUAAUCUCUGUACAUUGUAAAAUGUCUGUCCUCUGCUACGACCUGCUCCAAGCUAGAUCUUGUCCUGAAGCAAGUUUCUCUAUUGGCAAAGAGUGGAUGUCAGAGGUGGUAAAAUGGAGUUCUAGCCCUGGUCAGCUUUGUAGAUAGCUAAGAUCAUGGUAUCCAAAGAACCUGAGCAAAAGUACGUGGAAAUAACACCUGUUUGUGCAAGGAACACUUUCUGACACAUAAAAAUGCAAAGUAACUGGUAGGAGCGAAUAAGCAUCUUUAUUCAGAUACACAUUGCAUUCGGAUUUUAAACAUACCUAAUGACUUUUACAACAAGAGGACACUGAGGUACCCAGAAAGAGGGUGGAAAAUCAGGAUGAAGGGAGUUACUGCUAGCCUGUCAUGUACCAUGCACACAACCUAUCUUUUUAAAUACCAGUGGAUUUCCUGUCUGGCUCAGGGGGCCUGUCUAGGAAGAGAUUCAAGGAAAGUAGAUGGGUUAGUUCCAGGGACUGGGGCUCAAAAAUUUAAAGCCACAUGUAACGUUAGCUCUCUCACUCCCACACACAUUUAAGAUAAAGGAGAUGGCAGUAGUGUGCUGCCCGGAGGAUGGAAUACGCAGAUAACUAGGUUUCUAUACUGGUUCUACUCACUAGUCUGAUCUUGGGUAAUUUUUUGGGUCAUUGUUCUGUAAGGGAGGGCAAUAAUAACUACUUGGUCAGGGCUGUUGUGACAAUUCAGCAAUAAAACAUGGUCAAUUGCAGCUAAGUAUAA
This is a long non-coding RNA of Pan troglodytes (chimpanzee), 1920 nucleotides long. RefSeq lists it as uncharacterized. The transcript has 2 exons. The record is from RefSeq and is a predicted model, not a curated record. NCBI's taxonomy places the organism in Eukaryota, Metazoa, Chordata, Mammalia, Primates, Hominidae.